UGGGGAAUAUUGCGCAAUGGGGGGAACCCUGACGCAGCCAUGCCGCGUGAAUGAAGAAGGCCUUAGGGUUGUAAAGUUCUUUCGGUAUUGAGGAAGGUUGAUGUGUUAAUAGCACAUCAAAUUGACGUUAAAUACAGAAGAAGCACCGGCUAACUCCGUGCCAGCAGCCGCGGUAAUACGGAGGGUGCGAGCGUUAAUCGGAAUAACUGGGCGUAAAGGGCACGCAGGCGGUUAUUUAAGUGAGGUGUGAAAGCCCCGGGCUUAACCUGGGAAUUGCAUUUCAGAUUGGGUAACUAGAGUACUUUAGGGAGGGGUAGAAUUCCACGUGUAGCGGUGAAAUGCGUAGAGAUGUGGAGGAAUACCGAAGGCGAAGGCAGCCCCUUGGGAAUGUACUGACGCUCAUGUGCGAAAGCGUGGGGAGCAAACAGGAUUAGAUACCCUGGUAGUCCACGCUGUAAACGCUGUCGAUUUGGGGGUUGGGGUUUAACUCUGGCGCCCGUAGCUAACGUGAUAAAUCGACCGCCUGGGGAGUACGGCCGCAAGGUUA
Molecule: ribosomal RNA, 547 nt
Filed under: uncultured bacterium
Lineage: Bacteria
Description: bacterial SSU rRNA
Rfam family: Bacterial small subunit ribosomal RNA
Source: RNAcentral